This 255-nucleotide ribosomal RNA is filed under the name uncultured bacterium. RNAcentral's name for it is "partial 16S ribosomal RNA". It matches the Rfam family "Bacterial small subunit ribosomal RNA", at positions 524 to 776 of the family's 1533-position model. The record is from RNAcentral.
UACGUAGGGUGCAAGCGUUGUCCGGAAUUAUUGGGCGUAAAGAGCUCGUAGGCGGUUUGUCGCGUCUGCUGUGAAAUCUCAAGGCUCAACCUUGAGCUUGCAGUGGGUACGGGCAGAAUAGAGUGUGGUAGGGGAGACUGGAAUUCCUGGUGUAGCGGUGAAAUGCGCAGAUAUCAGGAGGAACACCGAUGGCGAAGGCAGGUCGUCUGGGCCGGGAACUGACGCUGAGGAGCGAAAGCGUGGGGAGCGAACAGG